AGUGUUUUACGAUCCCUCUCCAUCUUAGUGCAAUUUGACAAACUAUGAGAUAUAUAUUACAUAUGUAUGUAUAUAUAUAUCUGAAGAUGAUUAGACUUGCUGAGAAGAGGGUCAGUUCUUCUUUACUUUGGCGUUCGAACCAUACAGCAACAAUGGCUAGCAGUGAUACAGGUUACUACUUCUUCUCUCCUUUUCUCCUUCCGCUAAAGUUGAUUAAUUUCGUCUGUUUUUUAUGUGAUUAUAAUGGUAUCUUUCUUCAUUAACUAAUGAUGUGGUAAAAGCUAUUUCAUUAUUUGCCCUCAAUUUAAAUACCUAUUUGGUAUUUACUGCUGCCAAUUAUUCUUUAGAAUCAUUGCUACUAUAGGAGUUCUUGAUUUCUACCUUAUGUGAACAAUAAAGGAAAAACUUUUCUGUUCCCGGAGAAGGACUUUGUUUUUCGGUCUUGAUAUCCAUUAUGGCAGUUCUGUGCUAGUAAUAGUAUUUCAUUUCUGUCUCCUAUUAUCCUUAGGCUGCGUUUGUUAGCAAAAGUAAUGGAUGGAAUAAGACUAAUUGUAUUAUUUAACACAAUAAGACUUAGGAUAGAACUAUUAAUGUUUGUUUAACGUGGGACUAUUAGUCCAAAGAUUAUAAAAUGACUUAAGAUUAUGGACUAUUUAAUACCAUGGCUAGCUAGGUAUUAUAAACCCAUUAUAUGUGAUUAAAAAUUUAUGGACAAAACUAACAUUUAUAAAUAAUGAGGUACUGACUUACUAUAUCUUAUUUCGGCAAAAAUGAGGUACUGUAAUCCGGUAAUCCCAUCGUGUCUAUAUAGAAUUUCUUAUAAAUGAGGUACAGUAAUCCCAUCAUGUCUAUAUAGGAACUUUUAUAAAUGAGGUACUAUAAUCCCAUCAGGUCUAUCUUUUGGCAAUUUAAUGCUAAAUUUUGGAAUUAAAAUUUAAAAUGAAAUAAUCUUUGUAAUUUCCUAAAAUAAAAAAUUAAUUAUAAUAUGGCACUCAGUUCUUGUUAAACAUAACUUUUGUGAAAAGUGGGAGGAAAAAUUAAUUAUUCUCAUAACUUUUUUAUGAGAAUAAAUACUUAUUUUGAAACUACAUCUACUUUUACUAUUAAAAAGUUUAUCAUUUAUUUUUCUUAAAAUAAUUUUUUCAUGACGAGCUUCAUCAUAAUUGUCUCUAAUCUAGUAUGUACAUGUGAUAUGUUUAAAUAUUUUUUUUUUAUUUAUAGGCGCCUUUUUGAUGUAUAAACAAUAAAUUAUAAUUUAAAAUGUUAUUAUUGGUAAGGAUAUAAUAGUCUAAAUGAUAUUUUUUAUCCAAUCCCUUAAUUAAUCUUAUAAAAAAACAUAUCAUGAGAUUAUUUUAAGUUAUCCCAUAAAUAAUCCCAUAAAAAAUAAACAUAUGGGUAUGACUAUUUAAUCCUUGCAAAAAAACAUGGCCUAAGGGACUAUUUUAUUCCAGAAUUAGUCCUUAAUUUAAUCCUAAAAUUAGCACUUUAUCUAAUCCCAUAGACUAUUUUUAAAAUUCCUAAGGUCAUUUGAUUUCUCAGAAGGAAUUAUAUAAUACAAUUUUUUCACUAGGGAUUAUAAUCCAUCAUCAAAUGACAAAUCACAAAACAUAGUCCAUAGAUUAAAUAAAUGACUAAUCAUGAAAUAAAAUAAUCCAUAGUGGUAUUAAAUCAGUACAAAUAGUUCUAUCCCAUCCAUCAUUUUUAAAAACAAUCAUAGUUUUAGAGUUUCUAAAAGGCCUUAAUCUGCAGCAACAAUAAAUAAUAAGAAAUUUUUUCAUUUGCUUGUCUGUAUAUAAGGUGGAGGUAGUAAGGUUUAGUUUAUCAAUGUGAUAUGAUAUUGUGAAGCAUUCCUUAGUUCAUUCGUUGUUUCUUUUAUUACAAUUUUUGGUCAACUUAUACUAUGAGUGUUGUGUCUUGUUGCUGUAUUUAUGAUAUUUUCUUAUCUUUAGCUUGUAUCUUUGCAUGUUAUCUUUUUAUUCACUUUAAUUUGUCAUAACAUUUAUGUUAGUGCCUAUAUAUCUUUGGCAUCUGUAAAAACUUGAAGUCAACAUUGUGUGGGCGAGAAGCACCUGCUGAAAAGUCGUUUGCCUCUUUUUGUGAGUAUUAUACAUCUGCUUGUAUCAUGACUAUCUACAAUUUUUUUAUCAGG
This 2149-nucleotide long non-coding RNA is filed under the name Panax ginseng (ginseng). RNAcentral's name for it is "long non-coding RNA (PGIN_LNC014982)". The record is from RNAcentral. Lineage: Eukaryota; Viridiplantae; Streptophyta; Magnoliopsida; Apiales; Araliaceae.